Long non-coding RNA from Columba livia (rock pigeon), 5401 nucleotides. RefSeq lists it as uncharacterized. The transcript has 3 exons. The record is from RefSeq and is a predicted model, not a curated record. Lineage: Eukaryota; Metazoa; Chordata; Aves; Columbiformes; Columbidae.
CUCUCCGGAGGCGGCGGGCGGCCUCCCGCGGCGGGGAAGGAGGCAGGGAGGGAGAGCGGCGGCGCGCGGUCCUAGCGUCCCCCCGGCCCGGCCCGCAGGCGGCGCGUUUGGCCGAGCGCGGCGCCGCGCCAUGGCCCUUUAAGGCGCAGGGCCGCGGCGCGCAGCGCUCGCUGAUUGGUCGGCGCCGCGGAGACCUCGGAAGGGGGGACUUGAAACCGCCCGCCGGGCACGAAGGUGGGGGGAGUGUGUCGGUGCGCCCGGGCGGGCGCUGCCUCUGGCCGCGGCGCCGGGCGGGACCCGCCGGGGAUCGGACCGGUGCCCGCUCCCCACCGCCUCCGGUCCAGCCCCGGCAAGUCCCGCCCGGCGCCGCGCACCCCAAUUCCGCGGUGCGGGCGGUGAUGUCAGGGCCAGGAGCCCUAAGGGCAGCCUGGGGCCGCUCCCCCUACCCCGCCUGUCAGCUCCAGUGCCUCUGGUCACGGGGUGAGGCUUGCGGUGGAGCUUCUGCUGCCUGUUGUGCUUCGCUGCCCUUACAAACAAGGGGGGAAGCCACCCCCGUGGGGCUGGGUGCAGCCCUGGCCUGGCUGAGGGGGUCUCAGCCCUGAAAUGGGCUGUGGGAGCCCUUUUGCCUCUCGUCGGGGGUUUGGGCAAGGCCACGUGCACCCCAGGGCAGCCGUGCUUUUGGGGGUCUUGGCACCCCUUGCCCCAUUCCUACAGGACCCUGGCAGUCCAAGUACCCAGCACUUGUGGCAGUUUGCACGGGAACAGAGGUUGGAGCAGCACAAAAGCACAAGAGCUGCUCAGAGCUCUUCCCCCCUGCCCCGGCCUCACCUCUACCUCCAAAGUGACUCGCUGAACAAAAACCAGCAGAGAUGCAGGCUGCAUGUUAGUUACUGCUUGUUAAAAUGAGGGUGUUACAUACACCAAGCUUCAUCCUGCAGACGCUUGGAGAGUUUUGAGUGGGGCCGUGUGUGCGCAGUGACCCUCCUGCAAUGUGGGGCAGCAAUGUGGGGAGCUGUGGGGUGCAGGAAUGACUCCUCAGGUGGCAGGUAGUCCCGCUGUGCCCCAUGGGAAUAUUCCUGGCCAUCAGGACCUGCCUGAGCAGGGCCAAACUCGCUUUAGAGCAAGAUUUAAAACAAACAGGAGGAAAAAUAAAAUCUUGCAAUGCGGUAGGUUGAAAAGGAUCAAAACUUGAAGGCACCCGAGGUCCUCUCUUGGGAAGAGAAAACCCAGGACUUUGCACACACAAGUUUUGCUUUGCAGGGCGAGGUGAUGGUGGAGAUGACAAGACAGGCUUUGGGGGCUUUUCUCCAUGCACGUCUCUAGCACAGACCAGAGAGCCGGGCCAGGCAAAUACCAGACUUCGUGUCUCCUGAGCCCUCGUGUCCCUCUGCUGCUCAGAUGGACUCAAAAAUAACCGUGAGCCUCCCCCGGGACUGAGGCUAUGGGAUAAAUUUGACCCUGCAGCAGCACGUGAGGCAUCUGCUAAAUAUCCCUGGUUAAAAAUAAUACUCUCAUAUUCUGUACCUUCUGUGUGGAGGUGGAAAGCAUUAAUGCCGCCGGCAUCAUGGGUGCCAUACCCUGAGCAGCAAAAGGGCCUCUCCGUGCCCAGACUAUCACCGUGCUCCGCUCCUGUUCAUCAACAGUUUGUUUACUUUAAACCCCUUGAUUUUCAGGCAUAGGUGCCUUCAGCUCUCUGGUCUCCACCCAAGAGGGGAGGAUGUUGCCAAGAUUCUCAGAGGUGAGAGCAGCCUGGGGGGGCCAGGGAACCACCUCAGUUCUCCCUGCUCUCCUCUGGACCAGCUCCAGUUCUCGGCUGUUGCCAGGGGAGAUGGAGAAGAGCAGUUGAUGGGAAGCUUCCCGUAAGUGGCACCAAAAAAAAGUCUCACUGUUGGCAUCCUGACCUACCAGACACCAAACACCGACACAGUGAGGGUGGCACCUCGCAGCCCGCAUGAAUUCACAGGGUACCAGCCCUGCCUUCGCAUCUUCCACGACCUGGUGAUUAGAGCAAAUUAUAAAGCUGGCGCUUUGGACCAACUUAGCUAAAGAUGAGAAGGGAGACUAAUUUCAUAUCAUUGCCACCACAGAAUGCAAUUAAAUGGCUCUGCAAAGUUUUAGCGCAAGUUGUGACAGGAAAUCUGGGGGGAAAAAAAAAAAACAACAAACACAACAACAACAAAAAACAAAUAAAUCCCCAUACCCAAAGCCAGCAGCUCUGUCUAGCCAAGCCACUGGUAGACAUACCGAGGCUACCGAGCACUCCCAAGGCUUGGCGGCCAACCUGUGGGCUACCUGGCUUGGCUUUCUCUUUGUCAUGAGUUUUUCUUGGAUUGCAGCAAUUAAGGCACCAGAAUUCAUUAAAAAAAAUGAAACCAAGAAACCAAGAGCCCAGCUGGUUUUAACCAUCCACCUGUGGAUUUCUCCCUGGUCGGGGCUGUGUUGCACAGCACCCACCCAGUACCCAACAAACCCCACUCCACCAAGCCCAAAAGCAGGAGAAGGUGCUGGAGGGGAAACAGGCAGCGUCCCCCAGGCACAGCAGGGACAAGAGACGAACGUACCGGGCACUGCUGGCGGCUCAGCCCGGGCUGCUGUGGGAUCCCCGUGGGCAGGGAUGCGCAGCAGGAAGGACAGGUUUGGGAGGGAGCAGCUGUGGGAAGAGUGGCCUCGCCACGUUGCAUAUUAACGCUCUGCGUGCUUUAAUUGCGGUGGGACCUCUUGCACGGAGCCAUUAGCAUGCAAUGCGGAGGAACACGUAUUUUUGGGAUGCCUGCCUGGCUUGCAGACUCUCAGCCAGGGGAAAGAGGUGGGCCGGGGGAUGCAGGGAGAGGUGUCUCGGCCCUCGUCCUCCCCCUAGGGAUGCCGCUGGAGUCGCAGCUCCUUCCUCCAGCCCCUGAAUCAUCCCCGCUGCCAUCUGCUGCACCCUCUCUCUUCCCCACAGAUGUCCUUCUUCCUUCCCCAGGAGGAGAUGAGAACCCAGGAUGAGGUGCCAAACGCGACUUCAAACAGCAUCUAAUAAAACAUGGGAUUAAUUUCUUCUGACUGGUGUUCAAUGGCUCUGAUUAAGCAGGGCAGGAUUUAAUUAGCUUGUUUGGACUGCCUGGAAACCCCUGCCAAAGGUGAGGGAACCUCAGCAGCUGGCUCCCCCUGGGCUCCGACCACAAUCCAAUGGGUGCAGGCAGGACCUUCCCCCCAUGGAGCAGAGACCACUGCCUCUCCUGCCAGGCCAGCAGCUCCUUCGAGAUCCUGCGAGCACCCUCUAAUGCUCGGGACGGGUGCCCUUGGCUCUGCUUAAUUCCGGUGACACCGAUGGGGCAGGCACAGGAGGACAGGGAGGAGCAGGACAGGGGGUGAUGAACACACAGGCAGACCCGCCAGCAAGAAGAAACCCCUCCUUGGGCUGGGCGAGAUUUCCACACUUCAGUGCCGGUACAGAGUGCUCUGCAUGGCUCGCAUUCCAAUUAACCCAGCGUGGGCAGUGCGGUGGGUGCUGAGACCCACCUCCUCUCCCACCCUGGCACCACUGACAUUUUUCGGAAGGAGUCACUCGCCCCUCCUUGGGGUUGGGGUUUCUGGGUCCCACGGGGAUUGCGGUGUUGGGGUUUCCUGUUUACUCACGCAGCUGCACCAGUGGUUGGAAAAUCCGGGGUGCAUUACCCACAAUGCCAAAACAUCACCAGGGCCAUCACUGGCUCUGGUGUGCAGUUCAAGGCCUUCCCCCAUGCCAGCUCCUGGGCUGCAGGCUUGCAAAAACCCAGCCAGCAAAAGGCUUUUGACGAAGGAAGACAGUACCAGCAAUCUGCUAGUAUGUGCAUAAUUAAUUAAAUUGCAUAAUUAAUAACACUGCAUUAUUUAUAAAGGGCUAGGGGAUGUCCCUGCCAUAAGCAAGGGGUGAGUGCCACCCUACCCUGCAGAAAGCCGAGGCCAAGCCCUGCACUGCCUGCCCCCAAGCCCCCACGGGCACGGCCACGCAUGGGGCUGCAUUCCCUUGGGUGCGCUGCAUUUCCCUGCCCGCCCCGCGCUUGGCUGCCGCCAGGGCUUGCUGGCGUGGGCAGCAUAGGCAGAAGCCGGGCAGGGAGGGUGACGGAGAGGGAGGGGAGGGGAGGGGAGGGGAGGGGAGGGGAGGGCCGGGCCGGGCCGGGCCGGGCCGGGCCGGGCCACACCGUUCCGUUCCGUUCCAUUCGGGACCCCGCCGGGGCCACCCCCCCGCGGAGCAGCGCAGCGGGGCGGGACGCGGAAGGGGCCUCUUGAAACCGCCGCGCGCUGAUUGGCGGGGCACUCGCCCCGCCCCCUCCUCCUCUCCCCCCCCCCUCCCAUCCCCCUAGCCCGGAGGGGCCCGGGGGUGCUGGAGGGCUCCGUCCCCUCGCCCCCGCCCCCGGCUCUGGCCCCGUCGGCGGGCGGGCCGCAGCCGCCGGAAGGCCGCGCCUGUGCGCCCGGGCGGGGCGCUGAGCCGGGGCGGCCGCGGGCACGGCGCGGGGGGAGCGGGAAGGGCGGGGGGAGCAGCGCGGCCGCUCGGAGCAACGGCGCCCCCUGGCGGCUUGCGGCGGCGCGGACGGUGCCGGUACCGAACGGAGCCCUUGGGGUGCUGUGUCCCCUGUACCCUCCCGAGGUUCUGUGCCCGUGUGCCUGCCCGCUCCCAGGUGUCCUUGUGGCCCUGCCGGUGUCCCGUGCCUGUGCAUCCCCGGGGUCCUGUGCCCAUGUAGCCCCCCGUGGGUGUCCUGUGUCCGUGUCGUCCCCCGGGAUCCUCUGCCACUGUGCGUCCCUGGCGGGGUCUUGUGCCUCUAUAUUCCCCGGUCCCGGCAGUGUCCUGUGUCCCUGUUCCUGCCGGCGUCCUAUGCCUGUGUGCUUGAUGUUAGUGUCUCUGUGCACCCCCGCAGUGUCCUGUGCCCACCUCGGGGGUAUCCGUGUCCCCAUGUGCCCGUGGUGUCCUGUGCCCGUGGCUGUCCUGUGCCUGCACGCUCCUCCAGGAUGUCCCAGUGUUUAUGGACCCCAGGCCUGUCCCUGUCCUCGCGUACCCCCGGGUGUCCGUGUCACCACACACAACCUUGGACUAUCCCUGUCCCCAUAUAGCCCCUGGGUAUCCCUGUCCCCACAUGCCCCCUUGGACUGUCCCUGUCCCCAUGUACUCCAGGCUGUCCCUGUACUUGUGACCCCCUGGGACUGUCCCUGUCCUUGUGGACCCCCAGAGCUGUCCUUGUCCUCAUGGACCCCUCUGGGCAGUCCCUCCCCACACAGGCCACCAUCAGCAGGUCAGUGCCUUGGCACCUCCCAAACCUUCUCCAGAAGGUCCUGCUUCCUGGUGGCCUUUCCUCCUGGUGCUCACAGUUGGGCAUUGGUGUCCUGUGUCACCUGCUGUCCCAUUUGUUAACCAGCGUUCCAAUAAACAAUGCUUGCUCUGGAC